RNAcentral lists this ribosomal RNA (850 nucleotides) under Pseudomonas fulva. Its description in RNAcentral is "bacterial SSU rRNA". It matches the Rfam family "Bacterial small subunit ribosomal RNA", at positions 37 to 885 of the family's 1533-position model. The record is from RNAcentral. Lineage: Bacteria; Pseudomonadati; Pseudomonadota; Gammaproteobacteria; Pseudomonadales; Pseudomonadaceae.
UGGCGGCAGGCCUAACACAUGCAAGUCGAGCGGAUGACGGGAGCUUGCUCCUUGAUUCAGCGGCGGACGGGUGAGUAAUGCCUAGGAAUCUGCCUGGUAGUGGGGGACAACGUUUCGAAAGGAACGCUAAUACCGCAUACGUCCUACGGGAGAAAGCAGGGGACCUUCGGGCCUUGCGCUAUCAGAUGAGCCUAGGUCGGAUUAGCUUGUUGGUGAGGUAAUGGCUCACCAAGGCGACGAUCCGUAACUGGUCUGAGAGGAUGAUCAGUCACACUGGAACUGAGACACGGUCCAGACUCCUACGGGAGGCAGCAGUGGGGAAUAUUGGACAAUGGGCGAAAGCCUGAUCCAGCCAUGCCGCGUGUGUGAAGAAGGUCUUCGGAUUGUAAAGCACUUUAAGUUGGGAGGAAGGGUUGUAGAUUAAUACUCUGCAAUUUUGACGUUACCGACAGAAUAAGCACCGGCUAACUCUGUGCCAGCAGCCGCGGUAAUACAGAGGGUGCAAGCGUUAAUCGGAAUUACUGGGCGUAAAGCGCGCGUAGGUGGUUUGUUAAGUUGGAUGUGAAAGCCCCGGGCUCAACCUGGGAACUGCAUCCAAAACUGGCAAGCUAGAGUACGGUAGAGGGUGGUGGAAUUUCCUGUGUAGCGGUGAAAUGCGUAGAUAUAGGAAGGAACACCAGUGGCGAAGGCGACCACCUGGACUGAUACUGACACUGAGGUGCGAAAGCGUGGGGAGCAAACAGGAUUAGAUACCCUGGUAGUCCACGCCGUAAACGAUGUCAACUAGCCGUUGGAAUCCUUGAGAUUUUAGUGGCGCAGCUAACGCAUUAAGUGACCGCCUGGGAUACGC